GUGGGGAAUAUUGGGCAAUGGGGGAAACCCUGACCCAGCAACGCCGCGUGAAGGAAGAAGGCUUUCGGGUUGUAAACUUCUUUUACCAGGGACGAAGGACGUGACGGUACCUGGAGAAAAAGCCACGGCUAACUACGUGCCAGCAGCCGCGGUAAUACGUAGGUGGCAAGCGUUGUCCGGAUUUACUGGGUGUAAAGGGCGUGUAGGCGGGAGAGCAAGUCAGAAGUGAAAUCUAUGGGCUUAACCCAUAAACUGCUUUUGAAACUGUUCUUCUUGAGUAUCGGAGAGGCAGGCGGAAUUCCUAGUGUAGCGGUGAAAUGCGUAGAUAUUAGGAGGAACACCAGUGGCGAAGGCGGCCUGCUGGACGACAACUGACGCUGAGGCGCGAAAGCGUGGGGAGCAAACAGGAUUAGAAACCCUAGUAGUCC
RNAcentral lists this ribosomal RNA (428 nucleotides) under uncultured bacterium. RNAcentral's name for it is "bacterial SSU rRNA". It matches the Rfam family "Bacterial small subunit ribosomal RNA", at positions 354 to 796 of the family's 1533-position model. The record is from RNAcentral.